GCCUGAUUACAUAUCUGCUUCUAUAUUGAUCACCCACACCACAGGUUACUGAACAUGAUGACCAGCUCCCCCAAUCUGAUACGAGGCAAUCUUGAGCUGUGAGAGGAUAAUAAUUGAUAGCUUUGGAUCGAAAGGAAGUUUCUACUCCGUGUUGAUAAUAUAAAGAACAUUCAUUAGUUGUGAGGUCAUAAAUUUGACAAAUUCAUAUAAUUGAAACGUCUUCGAAGCCAGUGAAAAAAUUAUAUAUUUAAUGAAAUAAGAUAAAUGUGUUUAAGAUAAGAAGACAAUAUUAAAUAAAUGAAGCAAUGUGAAAACGACGCAGACAUUUUACAUUAGACAUACUACCGCUAGUCUACUAGAGAAAAACGGGACCAUGAGGAAAAGAACAAUAAUCUUGUGAUAAGCUUAUGGCCUCCUGGCCGGAUACUGCAACUACUUUCCUUGGAAUUCCUUGUGACUAGUGUUCCGAGAGAUAGUUUUGAUGGAACGUAUUACUAAUUAACUUGUUUAAUGAGUAUCCGUUGUUUCUCUUCUGCUCGAUC
Danaus plexippus (monarch butterfly) is the source of this 542-nucleotide long non-coding RNA. RefSeq lists it as uncharacterized. The record is from RefSeq and is a predicted model, not a curated record. NCBI's taxonomy places the organism in Eukaryota, Metazoa, Arthropoda, Insecta, Lepidoptera, Nymphalidae. The transcript is spliced from 3 exons.